Molecule: long non-coding RNA, 1106 nt
Filed under: Phascolarctos cinereus (koala)
Lineage: Eukaryota; Metazoa; Chordata; Mammalia; Diprotodontia; Phascolarctidae
Description: lncRNA (ENSPCIG00000018834.2)
Source: RNAcentral
GCAGCUGCUUGGGUGAGACGAGAUGGCAUGAUGUGAAUGGCUCCAGUGUGAAGAAGGCUGCUCCGCCACCUCAUACUGCACCCAGUGCCCAUUGAGUAGCGCUGUCACUUUAAUGACUUCAUGCCAAAGCAGCGCUUUCCUUCUCCCUCGGUUAAUACAUGGCAGGAUCAGAGUGGCAUUAGAGAACAAGCCUGGGUGGCUUGGACAGCAGAAAAGGGGAAGAAAUGAAAGGGACUGCAACCUGGAUGCUGUCUGAUUUGAGGGAGUGAGAUUGGAAACUUCUUGUCCAGUGAAUAGAAACCGGCCUUUCAGUCCCAAGGAACAUCUCAAACUCACCCACCUUUGCAGAAACCAGAGGCAAAGAACUUUGCUUUAAAAAAAAAGUUGUUUUCUUUUUGGCUUGUUUGCUUUUUCCUGAAAAUUUCUCCUGUCUAGAACUGGGCGUCUUUUAUCAUCAAAUUUGGAUGGCUUUGAAGUUGAUUUUGUAGAGUAGUGAGAGUUGUUUAAAUUUGGGUUGUGCCUUGAGUCAUUAAACUUACACCAAAUUUGCUGCCUGAAGAGGAAUUCUAAUAGUGUUUUCUAUACCAACAAUAAUGUUCUCAGUUUUUUUUAUAAAUUAAGAAAUAUUUUAUAAGAAUUGAAAGACACUUUUGUGAAACUCCAAUCUUUUUUCCUCUAAAUUCUGUGGGAGGUGUUAAAAGUUAAUUGUGGAAAAAAUAUUCAACAUUACUUCCUAUCUUGGUGAAAAUGAAGACUGAACUUGGAUUUCAAGGCUGAGCAGAAGUACUUUGCAACAGCCACCUGACUCUUGGCUUUAGUCCAGUUGGAUACAGUUGAUACCUGUAAACAAAUCCUUGAAUCCAGUGACUGCUGAGAGAUCCAAGAAUGCCAGUCAAGAAGAAAGAUACUGAUCGAGCUUUAAGACUGUUGGAAGAAUAUUGCAGAAAAUUAAGGAAACCGGAGGAGCAGCUGCUGAAGAAAGCUGUCAAAAAAGUGAUGGGAAUCUUUAAGAGCUCCUUAUUUCAGGCUUUACUGGGUAUGUAUUAUAAAAAAAAAAACCCAACCUUAUGAUAUUUUCAUGAUCAGAAUUGGGCUUAAAUAUUGAA